RNAcentral lists this ribosomal RNA (494 nucleotides) under uncultured bacterium. RNAcentral's name for it is "bacterial SSU rRNA". It matches the Rfam family "Bacterial small subunit ribosomal RNA", at positions 30 to 507 of the family's 1533-position model. The record is from RNAcentral.
AUGAACGCUAGCGGCAGGCUUAAUACAUGCAAGUUGAGGGGCAGCAUGAUAUACGCGAGUAUAUUGAUGGCGACCGGCGGACGGGUGAGUAAUAGGUAGGAGACCUACCUCAUACAGGGGGAUAGCAUAGAGAAAUCUGUGGUAAUACCCCAUGAGGUUAUAUGAAUAGAGGCAUAUAAUCAAAGCAUAAGCGAUUAUGCGGUAUGAGAGGGGCCUACUGACCAUUAGCUAGUUGGUGAGGUAAGGGCUCACCAAGGCGAAGAUGGUUAGGGGUUUUGAGAGAGAGACCCCCCACAUUGGAACUGAGAGACGGUCCAGACUCCUACGGGAGGCAGCAGUAGGGAAUAUUGGGCAAUGGGCGAAAGCCUGACCCAGCCAUGCCGCGCGAAGGAAGACGGCCUUAUGGGUUGUAAACUUCUUUACUACGCGAAUAGAGGUUAGUACGAGAUACUAAUAGGAAGGUAGUGUAGUAAAAAGCACCGGCUAACUCCGUG